AUGGACAGGCUUCUGUCCCCAGUAGGUGCAUCUCCCAUUCCCAGUGGAUGCACCUCCCAUCCCCAAUGGACAAACCUCCAUCCCCAAUGGAUGUACCUCCCAUCCCCAAUGGACAAACCUCCAUCCCCAAUGGAUGUACCUCCCGUCCCCAAUGGAUGUACCUCCUUUCCCCAAACAGACACACCUCCCAUCCCCAAUGGACAGAUCUCCCGUCCCCAAUGGACACACCUCCUGUUCCCAAUGGGCACAUCUCUGUUUCCAGUGGAUGCACCUCCCACCCCUCCAUCCCUAACGGACAGAUCUCCAUCUCCAGUGGACAGAUCUCCAUCUCUAAUGGAAGAUCUCCAUCCCCAGUGGACAGAUCUCUGUCCCCAAUGGAAGAUCUCCGUCCCCAAUGGAAGAUCUCCAUCCCCAACGGACAGAUCUCCACCGGAGGCCCUUUGGGACUCUCUCCGCACUACGAUUCCAAGGACCGCAGCCCCAAAAGGAACAAAGCAUCCCCUCCGUUACCACCACCACCGGUGCGGACCACCUCCGGCCGAGCUCAGCGUUCUUCCACCCCCUCGAGGAAGCUCUGCCCGACCCCUCCGUCCCCCCGCAGCCUUUUCGGACCGGCUGACAGCGGCGUCCCGCAGCUUCCCCCCCCCUUUUCCCGGUACUCACCUCCCCGAGGGGCCGCGGGCAGGCAGGGCUCAGCCCGCCGCCGGGUACUCCAUGCGGCGCCGCCGGGGGCCCUCCGUGCUCGAGGUGGGGAGGGGGGGGGAGGGAAAAGACGGGGGGGGACGGAAGGGGCGGAGGAAGGCGAGCGGCAGCCCGGCGGCUCCCAGCCCCGAGGAAGAGGCGGCCGCGGCCGCUCGUAGCCGGGGGAGCCGCGUCGGGAUGGGGGGAGAAGGGAACGGAGCGGCCGCGGCCCGGGAUGCGGGGGGAGAGCGGGGCCGGGCGGUGCGGGGGAAGGGGGAGGAGGGAGCGGGGAGCGGGGCGCGGGCCGGCGCGGCCGGGGCCUGCUGGAAGGAAGCGGCGGCCGGAAUCGGAGCGCCCCGAACAGCGCGCCUGCGCCGUGCGGCUCCGCAGCGCCCCCUGGUGGGGGGAAGGGAGAGCGGCGGUUUUCGGGGUGCGGGGAGGUGCGGGAUGGGGCUGGGAAAGGGGUGA
This 1149-nucleotide long non-coding RNA is filed under the name Phasianus colchicus (ring-necked pheasant). Its description in RNAcentral is "lncRNA (ENSPCLG00000001620.1)". The record is from RNAcentral. Lineage: Eukaryota; Metazoa; Chordata; Aves; Galliformes; Phasianidae.